This 1028-nucleotide long non-coding RNA is filed under the name Phasianus colchicus (ring-necked pheasant). Its description in RNAcentral is "lncRNA (ENSPCLG00000012113.1)". Lineage: Eukaryota; Metazoa; Chordata; Aves; Galliformes; Phasianidae. The record is from RNAcentral.
AUGCACACUCCGAGCUUGCACACUCCCUGCCAUGUGUUUGGGAUUAACGGAGGAGAAAGAAAACAUCUCCCUGCUCCAAGGCAGCACCAGGAUCUGCCAGAGCUCGAUACCUCGCUGACCCCAGGGCAUUUCACCACCCUCCAUCAGCACUGCUCCAGCCUAAAAUUCAGAUGGUUUUUGGAAGGCUGGAUCUGCUGCAGCCUCAGAAAGCAUCCAGCAGUGAGACCACCCGUGAGCCUCGUGGCUGCAGCGCCGCUGGGAAGCAUGGACAUCAUUAGAGGGGGUGGAUGUAAUGACUCUCACUGGACAGACAUUCACCUUCUGAAGGCUUCUGCUUGUUUUGCAAUUAGUUUAACAGGAAGGGGGCUGUUCAAAGAAGGGCAUAAAGGUCCAGUUUCUAUGCUCAGCAACUCAUAGCAAGACCACCACGACAAAGGUGCGAUGCACAACAGCUCUUGUGAUGUAGAGCCAAUGGCUUCCCCAUUCCCUUCCCUUCCCCAUUUCCUUGGCUCUCCAUCAGCACAGGGAAAAGAAAAAGGAGGAAGGAAGGAAAAAAUGGAAGGGGGAGAAAAAAGCUUUAUUUGGAGAGGUGGGAGCAGUGGGAAGGCUUGGGGUCACUCUCCACUUGUUACGCCGUUCAAAGUCGCUCAUGCUGAGAGUUUCAUCCUUUGGCAUUUUCAUCCUUUUCCAGGAAAACCACAGCACAAUCCCGGUGUAACUGUAGGGCAGAGGAGAGGCAAUUGAUGAUGUUUUCUUUUUGAUGAAGUAAGCAAAUAGUUAUCUGGAUGAAAGGAAAUGAGUGGUGAGUUCCCACCCGAGUACCGCCUCACUUCUGAGCACUGGCGCUGCAUGCCUCCCUUCCUCCCUUUCAUUGCCUAUGAAGGAGGAGGGGAGAUCUGCCCCAUGCCUGGCUCCCAAGGCUGUUCUCCCCCUGGUCUGAAUGCAGGCUGGUGGAUUUGGCUAUCCUUUCUUAUUGGGCAGCUGCUGGUAAGCUUGGGAUGGAGAAUAAAUCACGUCACACAACGACA